AGUGAACGCUGGCGGUAGGCCUAACACAUGCCAGUCGAACGGCAGCACAGUAAGAGCUUGCUCUUACGGGUGGCGAGUGGCGGACGGGUGAGGAAUACAUCGGAAUCUACUUUUUCGUGGGGGAUAACGUAGGGAAACUUACGCUAAUACCGCAUACGACCUACGGGUGAAAGCAGGGGAUCUUCGGACCUUGCGCGAUUGAAUGAGCCGAUGUCGGAUUAGCUAGUUGGCGGGGUAAAGGCCCACCAAGGCGACGAUCCGUAGCUGGUCUGAGAGGAUGAUCAGCCACACUGGAACUGAGACACGGUCCAGACUCCUACGGGAGGCAGCAGUGGGGAAUAUUGGACAAUGGGCGCAAGCCUGAUCCAGCCAUACCGCGUGGGUGAAGAAGGCCUUCGAGUUGUAAAGCCCUUUUGUUGGGAAAGAAAAGCAGCAGGUUAAUACCCCGCUGUUCUGACGGUACCCAAAGAAUAAGCACCGGCUAACUUCGU
RNAcentral lists this ribosomal RNA (491 nucleotides) under uncultured bacterium. RNAcentral describes it as "partial 16S ribosomal RNA". It matches the Rfam family "Bacterial small subunit ribosomal RNA", at positions 29 to 506 of the family's 1533-position model. The record is from RNAcentral.